GGGGUACAUUUUAAGACUCAAUAUUAUUAUUCAUAUAGACAUAUCAGGGAAAGUGAAACUGGUAAUCACGUAAGAACGAGAUAUCAAACAACACAACAGCAUCCUUUCUUAAAAAAUAAGGAUAAGCGAACUAUUUAUUUUAAGGAACACAGUAUAACGCAGACGCUCACAACGCACGCAAACCCUACCCGUAAGAGCAUCUCCGAAGCCUGAUCAGCCAGCAUCCUUUCUAAAAAAUAAGGAUAAGCGAACUAUUUAUUUUAAGGAACACAGCCUGAUCAGCGGAACCCAGAACCUUAGAAAAUCCUUAGAAAAUUCGCUCCAACCAGGACCUUAGGUGCUACUAAGGCCCUUGUAACCACUAGGCUACAGGCC
This 375-nucleotide long non-coding RNA is filed under the name Oryza brachyantha (malo sina). Its description in RNAcentral is "long non-coding RNA (OBRA_LNC000773)". The record is from RNAcentral. Lineage: Eukaryota; Viridiplantae; Streptophyta; Magnoliopsida; Poales; Poaceae.